RNAcentral lists this long non-coding RNA (1345 nucleotides) under Anser brachyrhynchus (Pink-footed goose). RNAcentral describes it as "lncRNA (ENSABRG00000006286.1)". The record is from RNAcentral. Lineage: Eukaryota; Metazoa; Chordata; Aves; Anseriformes; Anatidae.
GUUUCUCUUUUUUAAGUUUUGAAAUUUUUAUUUUUCCUCUCUUCUGGGAUGCACCACCUUUUCCUUUUACAUUAUUAUUGUUUUUUUUUUUUUUUUUUUUUUUUACAGUAACUUUGAAGACAAAUGUGAUUGCAUUGUGAGAACCUUUAUAUCUUGCCUUGGGAAAUGGAACAGGUGCCAUGACUAUCAAGCAAUGUGCCUGCCCCUUUGCAAACAACUAUUAUGGCUUGAUAGUUGAGAACUGCUGCCACUGUACCAGCCCUCAAGUAGUUGAAUGAAUGUUAGAAUAAUUAGGUAAAUAGCUUAUCUAUGCAAAUAAGUAUUUGAGCUGAUAUUUGAUCAUGCAUUCUUAGUCUUUCUUAUUGUCCAGGACCAAACGUAAUAUUUGGUAAUUUGGACAAUUUACCAAAUACUGUCAAAGAAAGAAGAAAUAACUAAGAAACAAUGUAAGCAAGCUUGUCCUGCCAACUGCAAGAUAGUCAGGAAGCUUUUUGAGAGAUAGUCCUAAUUGUCAUGAAAUGCCAUAAUUUAUUUGGUAUAGCAGAUUACAGUCAGAAAAGCACAGGGAAGGCAUUAAAUUCUUUGGGUAUGUAGCUCUGCAACUAUGGAAGAGGGUGAGUAGAAAACUCUGGAAGGCUGCAAGUGAUAAAGUUGGUAUGCCUUAGGGAAUUAACACCCUGCAUCUGGAAAUUAUAACCAUGCUCCUGAAACUUGGGAGCUGGCUGGAUAUAUUCCUUCCACUAUUCUGCCAAAACAGAAUAAAAUGGGCAAAGAAGGAAGAAAGUAAACAGACUUGGAAACAGAAAGAGCAUGCAAUGAGAGGUAUGCAGCAGUGGGAGGAUAAGUUAUGCUCCAGGGCUAGGGUCAGCCCUUUACAAGGACAACAAAUUGGACCAAUUGAGGCAUCAUAUUGUGAGCAGGCAAUAGUGAGUGAGCUGAUUGCUGCAGUGGAGCUGGAGAACACUUGAGAGACCGGAUUGACCUUGCGAAGACCAAGUGACUCACAUCAUUGGAAAAGAGAGUGGUUCUUACAAGACCAAGAGUUGUCAUGCUGUAUGCAUGACAGCAAAAGACGACAGAAAAGAAAAUAAUUGUAUGCAUAUGCAAAUUGCCAGCAGUCUGUAUUGCUAUUGAGCAUAUAGAAUCCAUGACCAAGCUGACACUUCUGUUGUGUUUAGCAAUUGCAGUAUAAUACCCAAGACCUAUUGAAAGCAAGAGAAAAGUGGUGUAGCUUUCACAUUAUAUGUCAAAACAGUCCAGAAAAUGUCACCUUUCCUUCCUAAUCAUUUGUUCCGCUUCCCCUGAUCACUAUGUAAUACAUGACCAAAACAAGAACUUAGAGGGA